GCGCGAAACUUUACAAUGCUGGCAACAGCGAUAAGGGGACCUUGAGUGCCAGGAUACAAUCCUGGCUGUCGUGAUGCCUAAAAAGCAUUAUAUAGCAAGGGCCGGGCAAGACCGGUGCCAGCCGCCGCGGUAACACCGGCGGCUCGAGUGGUAACUGCUAUUAUUGGGUCUAAAGGGUCUGUAGCCGGCUUGGUUAGUCUCUUGGGAAAUCCGGCAGCUUAACUGUCGGGCUUUCAGGAGAUACUGCCAGGCUCGAGACCGGGAGAGGUGAGAGGUACUUCAUGGGUAGGGGUGAAAUCUUGUAAUCCUUGAAGGACCACCAGUGGCGAAGGCGUCUCACCAGAACGGAUCUGACGGCAAGGGACGAAAGCUAGGGGCACGAACCGGAUUAGAUACCCGGGUAGUCCUAGCCGUAAACGAUACUCGCUAGGUGUCGGCCACGGUGCGACCGUGGUCGGUGCCGUAGGGAAGCCGUGAAGCGAGCCACCUGGGAAGUACGGCCGCAAGGCUGAAACUUAAAGGAAUUGGCGGGGGAGCAC
Molecule: ribosomal RNA, 539 nt
Filed under: uncultured archaeon
Lineage: Archaea
Description: bacterial SSU rRNA
Rfam family: Archaeal small subunit ribosomal RNA
Source: RNAcentral